AGUGAACGCUGGCGGUAGGCCUAACACAUGCAAGUCGAACGGCAGCACAGUAAGAGCUUGCUCUUACGGGUGGCGAGUGGCGGACGGGUGAGGAAUACAUCGGAAUCUACUUUUUCGUGGGGGAUAACGUAGGGAAACUUACGCUAAUACCGCAUACGACCUACGGGUGAAAGCAGGGGAUCUUCGGACCUUGCGCGAUUGAAUGAGCCGAUGUCGGAUUAGCUAGUUGGCGGGGUAAAGGCCCACCAAGGCGACGAUCCGUAGCUGGUCUGAGAGGAUGAUCAGCCACACUGGAACUGAGACACGGUCCAGACUCCUACGGGAUGCAGCAGUGGGGAAUAUUGGACAAUGGGCGCAAGCCUGAUCCAGCCAUACCGCGUGGGUGAAGAAGGCCUUCGGGUUGUAAAACCCUUUUGUUGGGAAAGAAAAGCAGCAGGUUAAUACCCCGCUGUUCUGACGGUACCCAAAGAAUAAGCACCGGCUAACUUCGUG
RNAcentral lists this ribosomal RNA (492 nucleotides) under uncultured bacterium. Its description in RNAcentral is "partial 16S ribosomal RNA". It matches the Rfam family "Bacterial small subunit ribosomal RNA", at positions 29 to 507 of the family's 1533-position model. The record is from RNAcentral.